UCGUCAGUGAGGUAUAUCCUUACCUGUAUCUCCAGAAAUGGAGUUGCAGAAUAUGAUGAGUGGAGAUUUAUGAGAUAUGAUUAAUAUCUCCGGCUUGUAGAGACUUGCAACGCUCUACGAGCUCCAUUCUGAU
This is a small nucleolar RNA of Doryrhamphus excisus (bluestripe pipefish), 133 nucleotides long. RefSeq annotates it as U8 small nucleolar RNA. NCBI's taxonomy places the organism in Eukaryota, Metazoa, Chordata, Actinopteri, Syngnathiformes, Syngnathidae. The record is from RefSeq and is a predicted model, not a curated record.